GAUGAACGCUGGCGGCGUGCUUAACACAUGCAAGUCGAACGGUGAAGGCGGAGCUUGCUCUGCUGGAUCAGUGGCGAACGGGUGAGUAACACGUGAGCAAUCUGCCCCUGACUCUGGGAUAAGCGCUGGAAACGGCGUCUAAUACUGGAUACGAGCUGCGAAGGCAUCUUCAGCAGCUGGAAAGAACUUCGGUCAGGGAUGAGCUCGCGGCCUAUCAGCUUGUUGGUGAGGUAACGGCUCACCAAGGCGUCGACGGGUAGCCGGCCUGAGAGGGUGACCGGCCACACUGGGACUGAGACACGGCCCAGACUCCUACGGGAGGCAGCAGUGGGGAAUAUUGCACAAUGGGCGAAGCCUGAUGCAGCAACGCCGCGUGAGGGACGACGGCCUUCGGGUUGUAAACCUCUUUUAGCAGGGAAGAAGCGAAAGUGACGGUACCUGCAGAAAAAGCGCCGGCUAACUACGUG
RNAcentral lists this ribosomal RNA (467 nucleotides) under uncultured bacterium. RNAcentral's name for it is "partial 16S ribosomal RNA". It matches the Rfam family "Bacterial small subunit ribosomal RNA", at positions 28 to 507 of the family's 1533-position model. The record is from RNAcentral.